This 355-nucleotide ribosomal RNA is filed under the name Pheidole gilva. Its description in RNAcentral is "partial 16S large subunit ribosomal RNA". The record is from RNAcentral. Lineage: Eukaryota; Metazoa; Arthropoda; Insecta; Hymenoptera; Formicidae.
AAUUGUUUUUUAAUUGGAAACUGGUAUGAAGGAAUGAAUGAAGUUUAAGCUGUCUUUAAUAAAAUUUUAAAAAUUUAGAUUUUUAGUAAGAAUGCUAAAAUAAAAUUAUGGGACGAGAAGACCCUAUAGAAUUUUAUAUAAGUUUUAGUUGAUUUAUAUGUAAUAAAUUAGAGUUUAUAUUUGGUUGGGAGGAUUAUUAAAUUUAAUGAACUUUAAUAAAAAGAAACAUUAAUUUAUGAUUUAGAUUUUAUAGUGAUAGAUGAUUAAGGUUUUAUAUAAUCUUAUGGUAGAAUUAAUUACCUUAGGGAUAACAGCGUAAUAUUUUUAAAAAGAUCUUAUUGAUAAGAAUGAUUGC